CAUUGGUUCAGAUUUCAGGGCCGUUUGUAUUGUGGUGGUUUCUUUAUGUUCAAGGUUAUCCACACCAGGCAGAGGACAAACUCCACUCCUGGCCUUCCUGCCCAGCUAGAUUUAAGGAUUGUAACCAGGACAGUGAGUCCCUUCUGGGAAAGGGGCCUCGUGGAGGUUAUGAAAUCCAGCAGGUCAUGGAAGGAGAAACGAUUGACAAUCCAGACGGGAUGGAGGCAGGAGUUGGCUCAGUAACCCCAUCUUUCCUAUCCACCAGCACUCCCCUGCGCUUCCCAAGUGAUUUAAUUAUCCAUUCUUUAACUGCAACUCGGUUAGCCCUGAAAUUUGGGUGAAGAGAAAUCAGACACAGGCAUCAGCACUCCUGGUUUGGGGGACUUAGGAUUCAGACUGGGACCUAUGCCAUUGGUUUCCCUGGUUCUCAGGCCUCUGGGCUUCAUUGGACUGGAACUAUACUACCAGUUUUCCUGGGUCUUCAGCUUGCAGAUGGCAGAUUGUGGAACUUCUCAGUCUUCAUAAUUGUGUGAGCCAAUCCCCCAUAAUAAAUCUCUUUCUCUAUAUCUACACAUUUCCUAUUGGUUCUGUUUCUCUGGAGAACCCUGAGUAAUACAGCCUAUAAUAGACCAAGCGC
RNAcentral lists this long non-coding RNA (637 nucleotides) under Homo sapiens (human). Its description in RNAcentral is "HSALNT0370738". Lineage: Eukaryota; Metazoa; Chordata; Mammalia; Primates; Hominidae. The record is from RNAcentral.